Camelus ferus (Wild Bactrian camel) is the source of this 73-nucleotide non-coding RNA. The record is from Rfam. NCBI's taxonomy places the organism in Eukaryota, Metazoa, Chordata, Mammalia, Artiodactyla, Camelidae.
GGAGUGUAGAGCUCAGUGUUAGAGCAUGUGCUUAGCAUUCAUGAGGUCCUGGGUUCAAUCCUCAGUACCUCUG